Long non-coding RNA from Cavia porcellus (domestic guinea pig), 492 nucleotides. RefSeq lists it as uncharacterized. NCBI's taxonomy places the organism in Eukaryota, Metazoa, Chordata, Mammalia, Rodentia, Caviidae. The transcript has 3 exons. The record is from RefSeq and is a predicted model, not a curated record.
AAAGGCAUUUCCUUUGUGUUCGACUCCCGAAAAAGCUUAUCCCAUUUUCCUUUAAAGUACACAGCGUUAAUGAGAACCAGCUUGUCCCCAGCAUGAAUGGAGUUCUUUGCCAACAGCUCUGGAAUUUUGCCUUUGGAGAAAAGCAAAGCCUACACUCAGUGGCGCCCUUCAAACAUGAGAUGAACAAACUCCAGGAGAACAACCGGCAGAUUUGAACACCACGUUUUCCAAUUUGCGAGUGUUGAUGUGGUUCCUGGACCUCUCUGGGGCUUUGGCGAAGGACAGCGGCUCCAUCUUGGCCUUGUAGAAGUGCAGACAGGACUCCUGAAAGGACUGGGCACAGAGACAGGGCGGCUCUCUUCUCCAAAGAGCCUGUUGGCGAUGCUGAGAGAGUACGGAGCGCCAGGCUUGUGCACCUGGGCGAGAAGCGACUGGAAGCCUCCAUGAGGGUCCUCCACUGAGCUCAGCCCCAGCGCCUGGGAAGGAAGUAAU